Molecule: long non-coding RNA, 636 nt
Organism: Girardinichthys multiradiatus
Lineage: Eukaryota; Metazoa; Chordata; Actinopteri; Cyprinodontiformes; Goodeidae
Exons: 3
Source: RefSeq, a predicted model, not a curated record
AGUCAGCUGACGCCUGUUCGCACUCUAAUGUGGUUAGAGCAGAAGAACAGGCCAAAGGAGCCAUCAGGACACACCAGAAUUUCUAUGGAAUUAUCAGCAGUUAAAUACUCCAAGACCAGCACUGCUGGAUCCCAAAACAACAGACAACAGUCACAUGUGGGCCUCAGCGUGAAGUGGACCAGGACUUGACCCGGACCGGGAGUGAAUUUUCAAAUACCUCAUGAGACAUAGAGGAAAAUGUCCAGCUGGCCUUGUGAGUGGAAUUACACCCAAGGAUCCAAGUGAGAAGCUCAAGAAAACAGCUGUCAAACAAUGAAUUACUGUGCUUUCUGAGGAAUGGAUGAGGAAAAUGGGAUUGUGUAAAAGAAGUCACACACAGACAAAUAGACAGUGUCCCCAUGUGCAGGUAAUUUGUGUAAUGUCUACAUCAUGGUUCAUAUAAUGGAUCUUGGAACUAUGUGAAAAAAGUUUAAUAACUUACAUCUACAGGAAUAUUUCCUUUCUGAAAUGGAGCUGUAAAACAUGCAAUAUCCUGUAUAUGAAACUAUUAAGCACAACAUAAACUAUGUUAAUUGUUCAGCUAAUGUACAAUCUAACAUAAACCUAACAUAUUCUCUAUGGUAAAAGGUUCCCUCA